Molecule: ribosomal RNA, 520 nt
Filed under: uncultured Glomus
Lineage: Eukaryota; Fungi; Glomeromycota; Glomeromycetes; Glomerales; Glomeraceae
Description: SSU rRNA
Rfam family: Eukaryotic small subunit ribosomal RNA
Source: RNAcentral
AGCAGCCGCGGUAAUUCCAGCUCCAAUAGCGUAUAUUAAAGUUGUUGCAGUUAAAAAAGCUCGUAGUUGAAUUUCGGGAUUAGUACGUUGGUCGUGCCUUAGGUACGUACUGGUGUUACUGGUUCCUACCUUCUGACGAACCAUCAUGUCAUUAAUUUGGUGUGGCGGGGAAUCAGGACUGUUACUUUGAAAAAAUUAGAGUGUUUAAAGCAGGCUCGCGCUUGAAUACAUUAGCAUGGAAUAAUGAAAUAGGACGUUGACCCUAUUUUGUUGGUUUCUAGGAUUGACGUAAUGACUAAUAGGGAUAGUUGGGGGCAUUAGUAUUCAAUUGUCAGAGGUGAAAUUCUUGGAUUUAUUGAAGACUAACUACUGCGAAAGCAUUUGCCAAGGAUGUUUUCAUUAAUCAAGAACGAAAGUUAGGGAUCGAAGACGAUCAGAUACCGUCGUAGUCUUAACCAUAAACUAUGCCGACUAGGGAUCGGGAUGAUGUUAUUUUAAUGACUCAUUCGGCGCCUUACGG